UAAGUCCGAGGUUAAAAGAUCUAUUUUAUAAUAUCUUUUAGUAUUUUAAAAAUUAUGUUGAAAAAUAAUUUAACAAUUAAAAAGUAGUGGUGAAAUACCUUCAAUUUUUAGGAUAUCUGAUUAUUUUUCAAAAGUAUUUAGUACUAAACAAAGUUUUAAGCAUUAGGUAUUAAGGUUUAAUGUUUAAAGAGAUUAGUUUAAAAUUAUUUUAUAGUGGAGUUCUCUUCUAUAGAAAGAAUUUAAUAAUUAAUUUAGAAGUAUUCCUUUAUAUUAAAAAAUAAUAAAGAUUAUUUUUUAUCUUUAUCUAGUCUGUUUAAAUUAGUAGUUAUUUNAAUUUUAAUAAAGGAACUCGGCAAAUAUUUCUUUCAACUGUUUAUCAAAAACAUAGUCUUAUGAUUUUUUAUAAGAUUACUCCUGCCCUAUGAGUCGUUUAAAUGGCCGCAGUACUUUGACUGUGCUAAGGUAGCAUAAUAAAUUGGCUUUUAAUUAAGGUCUUGUANAAAAGGAGAAAUGAAGGUGAGCUGUCUUUAUUAAAGUUAUUCUAAUUUUUCCAUUAGGUGAAAAGACCUACUUAUAAUAAUUAGACAAGAAGACCCUAAGAGUUUAAAUUUUUUUUUGUUGGGGCAACAGAAUGGUACUUUAAAUAAACAAAAACGGAGAUCCAAAAUGAAUAAACUACCUUAGGGAUAAC
RNAcentral lists this ribosomal RNA (691 nucleotides) under Natella viridescens. Its description in RNAcentral is "Nata viridescens partial 16S ribosomal RNA". The stretch from base 333 to 537 matches the Rfam family "Bacterial large subunit ribosomal RNA", at positions 1697 to 2031 of the family's 2925-position model. Lineage: Eukaryota; Metazoa; Mollusca; Gastropoda; Stylommatophora; Rhytididae. The record is from RNAcentral.